RNAcentral lists this ribosomal RNA (253 nucleotides) under uncultured bacterium. RNAcentral describes it as "partial 16S ribosomal RNA". It matches the Rfam family "Bacterial small subunit ribosomal RNA", at positions 524 to 776 of the family's 1533-position model. The record is from RNAcentral.
UACAGAGGGUGCGAGUGUUAAUCGGAAUUACUGGGCGUAAAGCGUGCGUAGACGGUUUCGUAAGUCGGGUGUGAAAUCCCCGGGCUCAACCUGGGAAUUGCAUUCGAAACUGCGAGGCUAGGGUACGGAAGAGGGAAGCGGAAUUUCUGGUGUAGCGGUGAAAUGCGUAGAUAUCGGAAGGAACACCAGUGGCGAAAGCGGCUUCCUGGUCCAGCACCGACGUUCAGGCACGAAAGCGUGGGGAGCAAACAGG